UGGGGAAUUUGGACAAUGGGCGAAAGCCUGAUCCAGCAAUGCCGCGUGUGUGAAGAAGGCCUUCGGGUUGUAAACACUUUUUGUCCGGGAAAGAAAAUCCUUGGCUCUAAUACAGUCGGGGGAUACGGUACCGGAAGAAUAAGCACCGGCUAACUACGUGCCAGCAGCCGCGGUAAUACGUAGGGUGCAAGCGUUAAUCGGAAUUACUGGGCGUAAGCGUGCGCAGGCGGUUUGCUAAGACCGAUNUGAAUCCCGGGCUCAACCUGGGAACUGCAUUGGUGACUGGCAGGCUAGAGUAUGGCAGAGGGGGGUUAGAAUUCCACGUGUAGCAGUGAAAUGCGUAGAGAUGUGGAGGAAUACC
Molecule: ribosomal RNA, 361 nt
Filed under: uncultured bacterium
Lineage: Bacteria
Description: partial 16S ribosomal RNA
Rfam family: Bacterial small subunit ribosomal RNA
Source: RNAcentral